UUUCUUAUGUUUAAAUUCUUUUUAUGUACAUCAGUUACAUUUGCAGUCAAUAUUUAUACAAAAGUUCAUGUAAGCUAUUUAGACCUUUGGCGGGAAAACUGUUCGUGCUAUGUUUCACCCACAUACAUGCCAACUUUCCUGAUUUGUGCGGGAUUUUCCCGAUUUGAAGCAGUUGAAAAGGCAAAUCCCGAUAUCCCGAUCGGGAUUGCAAAAAUACCCCGAAAUCCUGAUUUUCUAAAAAUAUCUCCCAUUUUACGACAACAAACCCCCAUUUCCAACCGGAAUUUGAAAUCCCGCGUCAUUUCUGAACUGGCCAAUCAGAAAUCGGGACAAUAGUCAGCCAUUGCUGUUUACCUGUGUCGCAUGGUAUCGGAGUGAUGUAAUUUACUUGGUCUGCCCGUGUCGGGGUGCUUAUUGGACAGUGCGAAGCAUGUUUUGAUAGUAAUUAAUCGGGAAGACGGAUUUCAAAUUGACAUAUCCUUUACACAAACGUGAAUGGCAAUGAUAAUAGUGUCACCACCAAACAAUCGGACAUUCCCAAUUUUUGCCUCUCGCUGACAGCAUCCAAAAUAUGCAAUAUUAAAGAUGUCAUGGGUGUAAAGGUUUUGUUCGCAAACUUCAUAGCAGGGCAGAUCACUCCUUUUCUGGUUGCAAUGCAGAUUGUUCCACCAGACUCUGCAAGCCCAUGAAAUUGUUUACAGACAAGCAAGAUCGCCUUUGUAGUCGUACCUAUAAAUGCAUGUGCUUUAAUCUAAAUUUUGAUAUAUAGACCAGCCAAUGUAUAUAUGGUGUAAAAGGAUGCAACUUUAAGUAUUAUUUGAUAAUAUGUAUGUGAUUUGUUGGAGAGGAUUUUUUGCUGAAUAGAUGAUUUUAAUAAAAUACUUAUAUAUAUCUUUCAAAGUUUUUUUUUUAUACCCCCCGCAACAAGUUGUGGGGGGGUAUACUGGAAUCGGGUUGUCCGUCUGUCCGUCCGUCUGUAGACGCAAUGGUUUCCGGACUCUAAAGCAUUAUCCUUUCCACCUACCGUCACCAUAUCAUACAUAUGGACUACCCAUGGGAUGAAGAUGUUCCCUAUCGAUUUUGGGGUCAAAAGGUCAAAGGUCAAGCGCACUGGACAUCGAAGAAGCAAUAUGGUUUCCGGGCUCUAAAGCGUUAUCCUUUCCACCUACAGUCACCAUAUCAUACAUAUGGACUACCCAUGGGAUGAAGAUGUUCCCUAUCGAUUUUGGGGUCAAAAGGUCAAAGGUCAAGUGCACUGGACAUCGAAGUAGCAAUAUGGUUUCCGGGCUCUAAAGCGUUAUCCUUUCCACCUACAGUCACCAUAUCAUACAUAUGGACUACCCAUGGGAUGAAGAUGUUCCCUAUCGAUUUUGGGGUCAAAAGGUCAAAGGUCACGCGCACUGGACAUCGAAGUAGCAAUAUGGUUCGGUUUGUCAUGCCAUUUGUUUUUUACACUCAGAAAAGAGGUAGUUUAUACCUAUUACCAACACCCUUUGGGAGAUUGGGGUAAGCGGGGGAUAUUCUUAGUGAGCAUUGCUCACAGUACCUCUUGUUUUAUAUAGUUUUGUUAAAGUUAAUGGUCAAACACACUUGAUGUAUGAUACAUGUAUAAUGAUUAGAUUGAUAUUUUAUUUGAAAAGACAAAUAUUUAUUUUCAUGGUAUAAUGUGAAUUUUGAGCGUUGAAAAAAGGUCGUCGCGCGCAAAAUCCCCCAUGGGGAUUUUCAAAAGUUGGCAUGUAUGCACCCAUGCAUAAACUAGUCUUUCAAACUUUCAAAGUAAGAUUUAUUAGGUAGUCAUUUUCAGUUCUAUAUUUAUGUCAUACAUUUUUAUUAUCUUGCGUAAUUUCUUGUUGUAAAUCAUAGACAAUUUAGGUUUAUUUUUUGUCAAGCAAGUGAUAUUUAGUCAUAUUAAUUCCGUCAGUCAUAUUUAUUAUAUUGAAUUAUUCAUUGUUACACCAUUAUGUCAUGUGUAAUGUCUACAUAUUCGGAAUUGUAAUAGAGUGUCAUAUUUUUGUUACAGCUUUUUACUAAUAUCAUACCCAAUAAAGAAUUAACUGAAUCACAAUGGCUAUAGUGAUCAGUACAGACAGUAUUUAUAUUAGGCCAAAAUAAAAAAAAUAGGUGUGUUUCCGACUAAAUAAGAAAUAUUGCCCCGUAUCACUGCAUGGGGAAGAAACUUGUACACGAUGCAUACAUUUGUGAGUACUGACAUGUAGCAUCACAUGUUCAGUAUUGGGUAAAAUUAGUAUUACUAAAAUAAACCAAAAAAUUACAUUUGGACGACUGAUUUUAAGCUAUUUUAAAUCAACACAUGAUUGCAUGUAUACCUGUUUUGAUUUACUUGCAGCACAUGAGUCGGCAGUUCUACAACGUAAACAACAAUCACUGAGCUUCGCGAGCAUGUAGCGAGCGCUCGAUGGUUACGCUCGUGAAGCUCAGUGGUUGUUGUUUACAUUGUAGGCCUAGACCUUUACAGAUAAUUUGAAUAUCGAACCCGAAUUAUCAUGAAAAAAUGUACGUAAUUUAAGGGCUGGAAUUUAUCUAGAAAAUUAGGGUCAGGAGAAAUAUUUACUGUUGAUCAGGUAACUGCAAAAAUCACUUUUGUCUUUUUGUUGUUGUUGUCUUAUGUUAAACUUUGAAUAAGCUAUGUAGCUAUAUGUAUGUUAAUUAUUUAUCAUGGAAAUUUUUAUGAUUUGAUCGGAAAA
Molecule: long non-coding RNA, 2705 nt
Organism: Ostrea edulis (European flat oyster)
Lineage: Eukaryota; Metazoa; Mollusca; Bivalvia; Ostreida; Ostreidae
Exons: 2
Source: RefSeq, a predicted model, not a curated record